Molecule: ribosomal RNA, 4500 nt
Filed under: Triticum aestivum (bread wheat)
Lineage: Eukaryota; Viridiplantae; Streptophyta; Magnoliopsida; Poales; Poaceae
Description: partial small subunit ribosomal RNA
Source: RNAcentral
UCUGAUUUCUGAUGGCUUUGAUUUUCUUAUGGGAACGAAGAAAUUGGGUUCCAUCUGGAGUUGUUAAUAUGUGGUUAUGGCCAUCUACAAAAUUGUCCACAAACCAGAUUCCAUGCUAGUUAUUAAGUCCAAUGCUCAGUUCAGCCCCACAAUACUCUCGAGUCUCAGCUCUUUCCCUUCAUUUUCAGUCCUUGAUGUCCCUCGUGGCUGGAUCACGAAUCCCUUCCUUUGAGCAAACAAAUCUCCUAUAGAAAAUCUCUCCUAUUUUUUUUCUCACACCUCACGAUAUCCUUCCUAACACUGAACCCUUUAUUUUUAGGUAUGCACUAUAGAAGUUAUAGGAGUCUUCUUCACUUUCAAAGGUCAUCUGUACAAUUUUCCAAUACUCAUCUAGAGCCUCAUUUUCUGCCCCCAAAUUACUAAACAUGCCACGAAUGGCUUCAAAAUCAUGAGAUCCUGCUACAUUGCCAUUUUCCUACCAUAAUAUAAAGAUAUUUGGAUGCAAAUUAGGAAAUGGUGGAGUGUUGAGUGAAUUUGUUGAGCCGCUGGUUAACUCAUUAGACGGCUGGCUCAAUCGUUCCAAUAAGAACACCAUACUUCAUUGAUACUUAAGAUAAUUUAGAAAAGAAUGUCCUCAUAUCAUAUAUAGAUGCGCAUAAUAUGGGAUGUAUUUUAUCAUAAUAAAUCAUAUAGCCAGCUCAGCCUAGUUGUUCAUGGGCCAGUAAUGGAGGCGCUUCUAUGUGUGUUUGAGCCUACGGUUUCUCUCCUAUCAAAUACUCCUGCCAGUCCAAAAUAUAAGGUGCAUUAGCUUUUGAAAAGUCAAACUUCUCCAUGUUUGAUUGAGUUUAUGUAGAGAAAUGUCAAUAUACAAGAUACCACAUCAGUACCAUUAGAUACAUCAUGGAAUAUAUUUUCAUAAUUUGUUUAUUUUAUGUUGUAAAUGUUAACUUUUCUACAAACUUGGUCAAACAUUGAAAUGUUUGACUUUUGAAAAAAAAUAGACCUUGUAUUUUGAGGAGUGAUUACAACUAAAUAAUGUAGCAUUUUCCGGAUUUUAUGUCCAAAUGGUAUAUUAAUCAGGGUCCAUAUUAAUCAAGAUGAGCAGUUCUACCCUAUCAGAUACAACUCAGAAAUUCUUUGAAAAACAAAAAGGCAACUCAGUAAGCUUUUUCACCGAAAUAAUAUGAGUUUUCCAAACAGCUGCUUUUGCACCCAGUGGGAAUUUUCUCCUUACCAAGUUUGUACUAUAUUUGUAAUCAAAUCUUCAUUUGUAAUGGAUUAUGUAUCUUCAUUUUAAUGUUUUGGUUUAGAAGGUAGUUAUGAUCCAGCAAUUAUACUUUUCUUUCAAUCUAGUUUUAUAUUUUGUCACUUUUUUCUCUCUUUCUCUUCAACCAUGGGGCCAAAAAUUAUGUUUGCCCAAUCAGAGAAUAGAAGAGUACGUAUUACACUAGUCCACUAAUUACGUGGGCUACCAAAAUUAGCUUCAGGAAUGUCGUCAUUAUGUGGCCACAGCCAGCCAUAGACAUAGGUCAGUCGCAGAGCAGAGCAGGAGAUGUUGUCAUCUUGGCAACACCGUGAUCACCAUGUGCAAGCAUCCUUGUGUAAGUCUUUAUCACCGCCUCCAGAGGCAAACGAUUAAUCAACGCGUACGCAUGGAGACGGAGACGGGCAUCUGCGACCUCCCGGCGGACUGCCUGGCCCUCGUCGCCUCCCUGACCUCCCCCGGCGACGUGUGCAGGCUGGCGGCCACCGCCCAUGCUCUCCGGGCGGCUGCCGACUUCGACGCGGUCUGGGGGAGCUUCCUCCCGGCGGACUGCACCGACAUCCUCGUGCGGUGUAGUACUGCCGGUGAUGAGCGCCACCGGGAAGGCGAAACAAAGAAGGAGCUCUUCUCCCGACUCUGCGACUGCCCCGUCCUCCUCGAUGGCGGCAAGCUGAGCUUCUCCUUGGACAGGCGUAGCGGGGCCAGGAAGUACAUGAUACCAGCGAAAGCUCUGUGGUACGGGUGGAGUGGCUACCACUACGGAGGACUCGUCUGGUCGCGCUGCCACCCACACUCCAGGUGAAACUCCAUGAGCACCGUGUGUCGAAGCCGGGGCUCAAACUCGGGUGGGUUGGCAGCUACCCCAGCUGCCCAGCCAACGGGUCGACGCCCCGUCCUCCGGACUCUCAACCGAGGUAACUGUGUGACCUAACCACUACAACAAGAAGCACUUCCUGUACACAAAGGGUUAAACUCAAUACAUUUUGACAUUAAAAAAAUUUGAAUUCAAAAUCCAUUUGAAAAAAUUGGGCGAAGAAAAUCCAAAUUCCUGAGAUUUAUGAAUGCGAAGAAGGCCGUUGUGCAGGCUACUAUAGGAGCUCUCCAAGGGAGAUAAGGAGGACAGUAGUGUGGGACAGACAGAAAUAAGUGGAGGCAUGAGACAGGUCUUGUUACAGCGCUCGCGCAUUUGUGCUAAUUUAGAUAUAGAAGAUUUGGAUCGAUAUCAGUUUUCUCAAAUAGAAAAUAUAUAGAAGGGUUGUUACCACACUAGGCCACCAAUCACGAGUGCUAACCAAAUUGUCUCGAAGGAUGUCGUCAUUAUGUGAAGAGAUGUUGUCAUGUUUUUAAUUCCUGUUUUAGGGAAGAUAUGUCGUCAUGUUGGCAACACCAUGAUCACCAUGUGUUGUUACCAGCAAAGCGUACAACUACGCAUCGCUUUAUCAUCGCUCCAGGCCCAGGAUCGACCAAAGCAAAUUAAUCAACGAGUACGCAUGGCGGUGGAGACGGGAAUCUGCGACCUCCCAGCCGACUGCCUGGCCCGCGUAGCCUCCCUGACAUCCCCCGGCGACACGUGUAGGCUGGCGGCCACCGCCGCCGUGCUCCGGGAAGCCGCCGACUCUGAUGAGGUCUGGGGCAGCUUCGUCCCGGCAGACUGCGCCGACAUCCUAGCACGGUGGAGCACCAGCGAUGAGCGCCGCCGGGAGGGAGAAACGAACAAGGGGUUCUUCUCCCAACUCUGCGACUCCCAAGUUCUUCUCGAUGGUGGCAAGCUGGCUUGUCAGGCGUAGGAAGUUAUUUUACCCAAGACAAGUAUAUAGAAUUCUGUAUGGACUAGCGGCUACAUGGACAAAUUCUCAUGUGCUGGGCUAAACCGUGGUUGUUAAGAUGAAGGAAUUUUAGCAUGGGCAAUGAAGUCACCUAAACAAAAGCAAGCACAGAUGGUGGGUCAUUAGUCCUUAUUAUAUAGUGUGAUAGCGACCUUGCCGGAAUAUUUUAUUCAUAUAUCCAAGAGUCUUUGUACGUGAAUAUGGCCUAGAUACGUACUACAUGUAGCAUGCAUAUUUUGUACGCAUGUAUUACUUGGUAACCGAAUCGAGUCCUGUUCGGUUUUAGUUUUGGAGUUGUAUUCCUGUACGGCAAGGCAUGCUACGUAACCAGGUCUUGCCUUGUAUACGCAAAGUCCAGCGUACCUUAUUUAUAAGGCCACGGCCGAUUGGAAAAAGCCCCAACAAACGAUCUAUCAAUACAAACUACUUUUUCAUGUAUGUCUAUUUUCUGUUGCUACUUCCUGCCGAGCCCUAGCAGCCCUAGGGUUUGGCGAUCUUUGCCGUUUUGCGCUGGAAAGCGGCCGGUUCUUCUUCACGAAAGCGAGGAAAUCUUUGUUGCUUUGCUCGUAAAGCAAUCGUUCGUCGUCACGAAAGCACGACGGUUAUCCUGGUGUUGCGCGUCGAUUUCGCGUGCCAACAAUAUGCUGCUGCAUUACUAGUAUACCAUGUACAUGUGUGUAUCAGGAGAUCACGUCUGACAUUGGCAUCUAUCGACGGGGCAAGAAGAGCUUCUCGCUGGACAGGCAUAGCGGCGCGAAAAAGUACAUGAUACCGGCGAAAGCUUUGUGCUACGGGUGGAGUGGCUACCCCUACGGAGGCCUCGUCUGGUCACACUGCCACCCUCACUCCAGAUUCAGCGAGGUGGCCGUUCUUUCUUACAUAUGCUGGCUGGACGUGAACGGCAUCUUAAACACGAAGAGCCUCUCGGGCAUUGGUAGAGGCUACAUGGUCUAUCUCAUAUACAGGGUGCAUCAGCUGCACACAGACACAGCUCAGAACCAAGGCCAAGAAGCUGAAGUGUUGUCCUCUUCUGCCAGCAGCAAUCAUGAGUGCAACCAUCUCGUCCCUCAGAAGCACUCGCGAUCUCUUUUAUGGGACUGGGGCUGGGAACUCGAUGGAUCAUCAUCGUUGGCAUCAGUAGACACGGAAGAGAAGAAUCGAAGUCUGAAGCAGUGGCUAAAAUCUGAUGGUGUGAGCGUGAGAAGCGAUGGACGAUGGAUAGAGCAAGAGAUCAACAUAGAAUUGGACAAACCGUGUCUGGACGGGGAGGAGAGAAUGUUUCCAUUGAGUUUAGAGGGUUCACAGGGUCGCAUAGUUGUCAGAUUAUCAUAGAAGGGAUCGAGAUACGGCCAAGAGCAAUGGAAAGUUAAAAGCAUGGCCAAAUUUCUUAGAUAGAUGAAUUCAACAAUA